This 255-nucleotide ribosomal RNA is filed under the name uncultured bacterium. Its description in RNAcentral is "partial 16S ribosomal RNA". It matches the Rfam family "Bacterial small subunit ribosomal RNA", at positions 524 to 776 of the family's 1533-position model. The record is from RNAcentral.
UACAGGGGGGGCAAGCGUUGUUCGGAAUUACUGGGCGUAAAGCGCGCGUAGGCGGUUACUCAAGUCAGAGGUGAAAAGCCCGGGGCUCAACCCCGGAACUGCCUUUGAAACUAGGUAACUAGAAUCUUGGAGAGGUCAGUGGAAUUCCGAGUGUAGAGGUGAAAUUCGUAGAUAUUCGGAAGAACACCAGUGGCGAAGGCGAACUGACUGGACAAGUAUUGACGCUGAGGUGCGAAAGCGUGGGGAGCAAACAGG